This 839-nucleotide ribosomal RNA is filed under the name uncultured Gammaproteobacteria bacterium. RNAcentral's name for it is "bacterial SSU rRNA". It matches the Rfam family "Bacterial small subunit ribosomal RNA", at positions 45 to 880 of the family's 1533-position model. Lineage: Bacteria; Pseudomonadati; Pseudomonadota; Gammaproteobacteria. The record is from RNAcentral.
GGCUUAACACAUGCAAGUCGAGCGAGAAAGUAUCUUCGGAUAUGAGUAGAGCGGCGGACGGGUGAGUAACGCGUAGGAAUCUACCUAGUAGAAGGGGAUAGCCCGGGGAAACUCGGAUUAAUACCGUAUACCUUCUAAGGGAGAAAGAGGGCCUCUCUUGAAGCUCUCGCUACUAGAUGAGCCUGCGUAAGAUUAGCUUGUUGGUAAGGUAAUGGCUUACCAAGGCUACGAUCUUUAGCUGGUCUGAGAGGACGAUCAGCCACAUUGGGACUGAGACACGGCCCAGACUCCUACGGGAGGCAGCAGUGGGGAAUAUUGGACAAUGGGCGCAAGCCUGAUCCAGCCAUACCGCGUGUGUGAAGAAGGCCUUCGGGUUGUAAAGCACUUUAAGCAGGGAGAAAAAGCAAUAAGUUAAUACCUUAUUGCCGUGAUGUUACCUGCAGAAUAAGCACCGGCUAAUUCCGUGCCAGCAGCCGCGGUAAUACGGAAGGUGCAAGCGUUAAUCGGAAUUACUGGGCGUAAAGCGCGCGUAGGUGGUUUGUUAAGUUGGAUGUGAAAGCCCUGGGCUCAACCUAGGAACUGCAUCCAAAACUAACUCACUAGAGUACGAUAGAGGGAGGUAGAAUUCAUAGUGUAGCGGUGGAAUGCGUAGAUAUUAUGAAGAAUACCAGUGGCGAAGGCGGCCUCCUGGAUCUGUACUGACACUAAGGUGCGAAAGCGUGGGUAGCGAACAGGAUUAGAUACCCUGGUAGUCCACGCCGUAAACGAUGACAACUAGCUGUUGGGAGACAAUGUCUUUCAGUGGCGCAGCUAACGUUUUAAGUUGUCCGCCUGGGGAG